AUUGAACGCUGGCGGCAGGCCUAACACAUGCAAGUCGAGCGAGCGGCGGACGGGUGAGUAAUGUAUGGGGACUGCCCGAUAGCGGGGGAUAACUACUGGAAACGGUGGCUAAUACCGCAUACUAUCGGAUAACCCAUAUGGGAUUAGCUAGUAGGUGGGGUAAAGGCUCACCUAGGCCACGAUUUCUAGCUGGUCUGAGAGGAUGAUCAGCCACACUGGCACUGAGACACGUCCCAUACUCCUACGGAGGCAUCAGUGGUGAAUAUUGCCCAAUGGGCGCAAGCCUGAUGCAGCCAUGCCGCGUGUAUGAAGAAUGCCUUAGGGUUGUAAAGUACUUUCAGCGGGGAGGCGUUACCCGCAGAAGAAGCACCGGCUAACUCCGUGCCAGCAGCCGCGGUAAGUC
Molecule: ribosomal RNA, 403 nt
Filed under: uncultured bacterium
Lineage: Bacteria
Description: partial 16S ribosomal RNA
Rfam family: Bacterial small subunit ribosomal RNA
Source: RNAcentral